AAAUAACUAAAGAAUAACAUUGCCAGUUGUGAUAUACCUGCGGCCCUUAUAAUUUCGUGGAUAAUUUCCUUCGGAACGGGAUCCGGGCUAAAGUAUCUUCAGGUACGUCUGGCGGCUGUCAUUUGAUAAAAUUCUGACGCCCGAGACAGCGAUUCCUUUUUGGGUAACCGGACAUACCGAUAUGAGUAUAUAAAAUAUUCUAGCUCUUUUCAUUUAGAAAAUCGUGAAAAAGAAAUAAGAAUCAUUUAAACACGACCGACAAAAUCGAGAGAUUUUAAUCGUAAAAUUAACAAUCUUAUCUGUUGACUAACUCACUGGAAUUCCAUGGCAUUCACGCUUGUAUUAAGAUUUUAAGCACGAGGCAUCGAGCGAAGCACUUUCAUCUUCCACUUUCAUUUUCUAAAAUGAGACAAAUACGACUCUGUUCCGCUCGAUAACAGUUAUAUAUACACAAUGACAGAUUACUUUCACUCGGAUCCGUAGAUUCGUCGGAUGCUGGAGCGAGGGGCCUCUUCUGUGGUCUCCCGAAAAUUUUGCUAAACAGAAUGAGGGAAAUGACGCCGACUAACAGGUGAUAAAAAUAUUUCGUCACGAAAGGCGCGUAUUCGGAGAACAUCUUUCCGGUCUCUCCUUUUCGUCGCACAACAAGGAGGGAGCCUCUCUCGCGCGCGACUUUUUACUCGCUACUGAUCCGGAUCGGAAUGAUUUUCACACUCGACUCUCGAGUCAUCAAGGUCGCAGAUAUAAGAUAUCUGAGAGUGAUAUCGGGAACGCAUUCCGAUAGCGUCGGGGGAUAGAAAAAUCAUUAUUCGAGCGUGUAUUAAAUUCGCCCGCGCUAUUAUAAUGUCGAAACCGAGUGUCUCUCUUUUUGACAUUUCUCGUUGAUGCACAACUCAUCGAAGAAACGCGUAAAAUUGAUGCGUCAGUCGUUUCGUGGAAAUUGCAAACCUCUCUGAUAUACGCUAUAUACAUUUGUAUGUAAAAUUUAAAAUUUUGCAAACAUAUCUACCAGCUCGUUUCCCUCUUUUUCUCGUAUUUUUCAGUAAUAAUUAACUCGAUAUCGUCGCGUGUUGUUUUUCAACGUUUGCUUACAUCCAACAUUGUUACGAAAUUGUUAUCGUAGAUUUGUUACACAUGAAAUGACCGAUCGAUAUAUAGGAAUAAUAAUAAUAAUAAUAAUUGCGCGCGUUUUAUUCUCGCGAAUGACAGAAAAAAUCUGCAAAAACUACCAGUUUCAAAGGCACGAUUGAAAACGAUCCUUGUAAUCUUCUUAAUUAUGUCAGUUUAUGUUAGCCCGAUGACAAUUAAUUCGCUUCGUUAAGAUUUUAAAGUUAGCCAAGAGCAUUUUUAAUUUGCAUUUUAAAUACAUUGUCUUCGUUAUGCUACUAAAUAUGAUGACCAAGAGUGAGUGGAAACUUUCCUCGAUUCUCUAUUCGAAAAUUUCAAACAACUUUACAUCUUUGCUGUAUACAUUUGUAAGUUACACAACUUGGUUCAAUAGAAUCCAAAAAAAAAAUGGAAAGAAUCUGAAUGAAAUUUUCUUUGUUACGA
Non-coding RNA from Nylanderia fulva, 1551 nucleotides. The record is from RefSeq and is a predicted model, not a curated record. Lineage: Eukaryota; Metazoa; Arthropoda; Insecta; Hymenoptera; Formicidae.